This 596-nucleotide ribosomal RNA is filed under the name Colletotrichum theobromicola. RNAcentral's name for it is "eukaryotic LSU rRNA". The stretch from base 233 to 386 matches the Rfam family "5.8S ribosomal RNA". Lineage: Eukaryota; Fungi; Ascomycota; Sordariomycetes; Glomerellales; Glomerellaceae. The record is from RNAcentral.
UAGAGGAAGUAAAAGUCGUAACAAGGUCUCCGUUGGUGAACCAGCGGAGGGAUCAUUACUGAGUUUACGCUCUACAACCCUUUGUGAACAUACCUACAACUGUUGCUUCGGCGGGUAGGGUCCCGGUGACCCUCCCGGCCUCCCGCCCCCCCGGGCGGGUCGGCGCCCGCCGGAGGAUAACCAAACUCUGAUUUAACGACGUUUCUUCUGAGUGGUACAAGCAAAUAAUCAAAACUUUUAACAACGGAUCUCUUGGUUCUGGCAUCGAUGAAGAACGCAGCGAAAUGCGAUAAGUAAUGUGAAUUGCAGAAUUCAGUGAAUCAUCGAAUCUUUGAACGCACAUUGCGCCCGCCAGCAUUCUGGCGGGCAUGCCUGUUCGAGCGUCAUUUCAACCCUCAAGCUCUGCUUGGUGUUGGGGCCCUACAGCUGAUGUAGGCCCUCAAAGGUAGUGGCGGACCCUCCCGGAGCCUCCUUUGCGUAGUAACUUUACGUCUCGCACUGGGAUCCGGAGGGACUCUUGCCGUAAAACCCCCCAAUUUUCCAAAGGUUGACCUCGGAUCAGGUAGGAAUACCCGCUGAACUUAAGCAUAUCAAUA